RNAcentral lists this ribosomal RNA (852 nucleotides) under uncultured Gammaproteobacteria bacterium. Its description in RNAcentral is "bacterial SSU rRNA". It matches the Rfam family "Bacterial small subunit ribosomal RNA", at positions 78 to 918 of the family's 1533-position model. The record is from RNAcentral. Lineage: Bacteria; Pseudomonadati; Pseudomonadota; Gammaproteobacteria.
GCUUGCUACCUGACCUAGCGGCGGACGGGUGAGUAAUGCUUAGGAAUCUGCCUAUUAGUGGGGGACAACGUUCCGAAAGGAACGCCAAUACCGCAUACGUCCUACGGGGGAAAGCAGGGGAUCUUCGGACCUUGCGCUAAUAGAUGAGCCUAAGUCGGAUUAGCUAGUUGGUGGGGUAAAGGCCUACCAAGGCGACGAUCUGUAGCGGGUCUGAGAGGAUGAUCCGCCACACUGGGACUGAGACACGGCCCAGACUCCUACGGGAGGCAGCAGUGGGGAAUAUUGGACAAUGGGCGCAAGCCUGAUCCAGCCGUGCCGCGUGUGUGAAGAAGGCCUUUUGGUUGUAAAGCACUUUAAGCGAGGAGGAGGCUCCUUUAGUUAAUACCUAAAGUGAGUGGACGUUACUCGCAGAAUAAGCACCGGCUAACUCUGUGCCAGCAGCCGCGGUAAUACAGAGGGUGCGAGCGUUAAUCGGAUUUACUGGGCGUAAAGCGUGCGUAGGCGGCUUUUUAAGUCGGAUGUGUAAUCCCUGAGCUUAACUUACGAAUUGCAUUCGAUACUGGAGAGCUAGAGUAUGGGAGAGGAUGGUAGAACUCCAGGUGUAACGGUGAAAUGCGUAGAGAUCUGGAGGAAUACCGAUAGCGAACGCAGCCAUCUGGUCUAAUACCGACGCUGAGGUACGAAAGCAUGCGGAGCAAACAUGAUUAGAUACCCUGGUAGUCCAUGCCGUAAGCGAUGUCUACUAGCCGCUUGGGGCCCUUUGAGGCUUUAGUGGCGCAGCUGAUCGCGAUCAGUACGAUCGUCCUGGGGCAGUACAGGCCGCAUGACUAAAACUCAAAUGAAUUGACGGGG